Camelus ferus (Wild Bactrian camel) is the source of this 72-nucleotide transfer RNA. It matches the Rfam family "tRNA". From Rfam's summary of the family: Transfer RNA (tRNA) molecules are approximately 80 nucleotides in length. Their secondary structure includes four short double-helical elements and three loops (D, anti-codon, and T loops). The record is from Rfam. NCBI's taxonomy places the organism in Eukaryota, Metazoa, Chordata, Mammalia, Artiodactyla, Camelidae.
GAGGGUAGAGCUUAGUGGUAGAGCACAUGCUUAACAUGCACGUGGUCCUGGGUUCAAUCCCCAGUACCUCCA